AUGUCGCAAGCGUUAUCCGGAUUUAUUGGGCGUAAAGCGCGUCUUGGCGGUUUGGUAAGUCUGAUGUGAAAAUGCGGGGCUCAACUCCGUAGUGCGUUGGAAACUGUCAAACUAGAGUACUGGAGAGGUAGGCGGAACUACAAGUGUAGAGGUGAAAUUCGUAGAUAUUUGUAGGAAUGCCGAUAGAGAAGUCAGCUCACUGGACAGAUACUGACACUGAAGCGCGAAAGCAUGGGGAGCAA
RNAcentral lists this ribosomal RNA (242 nucleotides) under uncultured bacterium. RNAcentral's name for it is "partial 16S ribosomal RNA". It matches the Rfam family "Bacterial small subunit ribosomal RNA", at positions 529 to 771 of the family's 1533-position model. The record is from RNAcentral.